UACGUAGGGUGCAAGCGUUGUCCGGAAUUAUUGGGCGUAAAGAGCUCGUAGGCGGUUCGUCGCGUCGGCUGUGAAAACCUGAGGCUCAACCUCAGGCCUGCAGUCGAUACGGGCGGACUUGAGUACUGCAGGGGAGACUGGAAUUCCUGGUGUAGCGGUGAAAUGCGCAGAUAUCAGGAGGAACACCGGUGGCGAAGGCGGGUCUCUGGGCAGUAACUGACGCUGAGGAGGGAAAGCGUGGGGAGCGAACAGG
Molecule: ribosomal RNA, 253 nt
Filed under: uncultured bacterium
Lineage: Bacteria
Description: partial 16S ribosomal RNA
Rfam family: Bacterial small subunit ribosomal RNA
Source: RNAcentral